AGUGGCGGACGGGUGAGUAACGCGUGGGUAACCUGCCUCAUACAGGGGGAUAACAGUUAGAAAUGACUGCUAAUACCGCAUAAGACCACAGCACCGCAUGGUGCAGGGGUAAAAACUCCGGUGGUAUGAGAUGGACCCGCGUCUGAUUAGGUAGUUGGUGGGGUAACGGCCUACCAAGCCGACGAUCAGUAGCCGACCUGAGAGGGUGACCGGCCACAUUGGGACUGAGACACGGCCCAAACUCCUACGGGAGGCAGCAGUGGAGAAUAUUGCACAAUGGGGGAAACCCUGAUGCAGCGACGCCGCGUGAGCGAUGAAGUAUUUCGGUAUGUAAAGCUCUAUCAGCAGGGAAGAAAAUGACGGUACCUGACUAAGAAGCACCGGCUAAAUACGUGCCAGCAGCCGCGGUAAUACGUAUGGUGCAAGCGUUAUCCGGAUUUACUGGGUGUA
RNAcentral lists this ribosomal RNA (450 nucleotides) under uncultured Lachnospiraceae bacterium. RNAcentral's name for it is "bacterial SSU rRNA". It matches the Rfam family "Bacterial small subunit ribosomal RNA", at positions 94 to 562 of the family's 1533-position model. The record is from RNAcentral. Lineage: Bacteria; Bacillati; Bacillota; Clostridia; Lachnospirales; Lachnospiraceae.